AACGAACGCUGGCGGCAGGCUUAACACAUGCCAGUCGAACGCACCUUUCGGGGUGAGUGGCAGACGGGUGAGUAACGCGUGGGAAUCUACCCUUCUCUACGGGAUAGCUCCGGGAAACUGGAAUUAAUACCGUAUACGUCCUGAGGGAGAAAGAUUUAUCGGGGAAGGAUGAGCCCGCGUUGGAUUAGCUAGUUGGUGGGGUAAAGGCCUACCAAGGCGACGAUCCAUAGCUGGUCUAAGAGGAUGAUCAGCCACAUUGGGACUGAGACACGGCCCAAACUCCUACGGGAGGCAGCAGUGGGGAAUAUUGGACAAUGGGCGCAAGCCUGAUCCAGCCAUGCCGCGUGAGUGAUGAAGGCCCUAGGGUUGUAAAGCUCUUUCAGGGGGGACGAUAAUGACGGUACCCACAGAAGAAGCCCCGGCUAACUUCGUG
This 433-nucleotide ribosomal RNA is filed under the name uncultured bacterium. RNAcentral's name for it is "partial 16S ribosomal RNA". It matches the Rfam family "Bacterial small subunit ribosomal RNA", at positions 29 to 507 of the family's 1533-position model. The record is from RNAcentral.